GGGAGAGGGAGGGCGGCUGACGGUGGUCCCGCAACCUUGGGGCCGCUGAGGAAAGUCCCCCCUCCUGCCGGGCAGGGGUGCCACCGCAAGGUGGCCACCCGAGAGGGUGGGCAACGGCACAGAAACGCCACAGCCACGGGUUAUAUGGCGAUGAUAGGGGAAUAAGCCCUUGAGGACUCCCGUGGAGUUGGUGAAACGGCCGUCCACCCCGGAGCAAGUCCAGUAGGGUCGGGAUGAAUGCCCGGCUGACCGACCGGGUAGGACGCUUAGAAGAAUGCCGCCAGAACAGAAGGGGGCUUACUCCCCUCACCC
Molecule: RNase P RNA, 312 nt
Filed under: Thermoplasmata archaeon
Lineage: Archaea; Methanobacteriati; Thermoplasmatota; Thermoplasmata
Description: RNase P RNA component
Rfam family: Archaeal RNase P
About the family: Ribonuclease P (RNase P) is a ubiquitous endoribonuclease, found in archaea, bacteria and eukarya as well as chloroplasts and mitochondria.
Source: RNAcentral